CCAAUAGCGUAUAUUAAAGUUGUUGUGGUUAAAAAGCUCGUAGUUGAACCUUGGGCCUGGCUGGCCGGUCCGCCUCACCGCGUGUACUGGUCCGGCCGGGCCUUUCCCUCUGUGGAACCUCAUGCCCUUCACUGGGUGUGCUGGGGAAACAGGACUUUUACUUUGAAAAAAUUAGAGUGCUCCAGGCAGGCCUAUGCUCGAAUACAUUAGCAUGGAAUAAUAAAAUAGGACGUGCGGUUCUAUUUUGUUGGUUUCUAGGACCGCCGUAAUGAUUAAUAGGGACAGUCGGGGGCAUCAGUAUUCAAUUGUCAGAGGUGAAAUUCUUGGAUUUAUUGAAGACUAACUACUGCGAAAGCAUUUGCCAAGGAUGUUUUCAUUAAUCAGGAACGAAAGUUAGGGGAUCGAAAACGAUCAGAUACCGUUGUAGUCUUAACCAUAAACUAUGCCGACUAGGGAUCGGACGAUGUUAUUUUUUGACUCGUUCGGCACCUUACG
RNAcentral lists this ribosomal RNA (495 nucleotides) under uncultured Glomeromycotina. RNAcentral describes it as "partial small subunit ribosomal RNA". It matches the Rfam family "Eukaryotic small subunit ribosomal RNA", at positions 591 to 1092 of the family's 1831-position model. The record is from RNAcentral. Lineage: Eukaryota; Fungi; Glomeromycota.